CCGCCGUGAUGAUUUGACCACGGUUUCGCGUGUUUCUGAUGUCUGUGACGAUCUCUUCUCUUGGCUGUCUGAGCGG
Spea bombifrons (plains spadefoot toad) is the source of this 76-nucleotide small nucleolar RNA. RefSeq annotates it as small nucleolar RNA SNORD53/SNORD92. NCBI's taxonomy places the organism in Eukaryota, Metazoa, Chordata, Amphibia, Anura, Pelobatidae. The record is from RefSeq and is a predicted model, not a curated record. The transcript has a single exon.